Molecule: ribosomal RNA, 497 nt
Filed under: uncultured bacterium
Lineage: Bacteria
Description: partial 16S ribosomal RNA
Rfam family: Bacterial small subunit ribosomal RNA
Source: RNAcentral
GAUGAACGCUGGCGGCGUGCCUAAUACAUGCAAGUCGAGCGAACGGACGAGAAGCUUGCUUCUCUGAUGUUAGCGGCGGACGGGUGAGUAACACGUGGAUAACCUACCUAUAAGACUUGGAUAACUUCGGGAAACCGGAGCUAAUACCGGAUAAUAUUUUGAACCGCAUGGUUCAAAAGUGAAAGACGGUCUUGCUGUCACUUAUAGAUGGAUCCGCGCUGCAUUAGCUAGUUGGUAAGGUAACGGCUUACCAAGGCAACGAUGCAUAGCCGACCUGAGAGGGUGAUCAGACACACUGGAACUGAGACACGGUCCAGACUCCUACGGGAGGCAGCAGUAGGGAAUCUUCCGCAAUGGGCGAAAGCCUGACGGAGCAACGCCGCGUGAGUGAUGAAGGUCUUCGGAUCGUAAAACUCUGUUAUUAGGGAAGAACAGAUGUGUAAGUAACUGUGCACAUCUUGACGGUACCUAAUCAGAAAGCAACGGCUAACUACGUG